This 1240-nucleotide long non-coding RNA is filed under the name Mus pahari (shrew mouse). Its description in RNAcentral is "predicted gene 29183 (MGP_PahariEiJ_G0005964.1)". The record is from RNAcentral. Lineage: Eukaryota; Metazoa; Chordata; Mammalia; Rodentia; Muridae.
UAGGAGAGUUACAGGGUAGAGGCGUAAAGGGUCCUCAGUAGAAGCAGAUAUUCCCUGCAUGGCUGGUGUUGCCCACAUUGCCACCAGCUUCUGGGAGAGGGAGUAGAGGGCAGUUGCGGAAGGGGGUUAAGGUCACCUUCCUUGCCACCAUCCCCCUUGCCAAAAUAGUACAUAUAUAGUCACUAUUUGAGACCAAAAUGUCUCCAUCCUCUUGAAGAGAUGAAUCGUGGGCAGCUAACAGGAAGAAGGGAACUGAACUGGUGUCACUUGGCUUCUUUUGGGAUCCAGUGAUUGUGACCCACAGCAGUUCAUUGGUGGUGGUUUUUCCAUUUGUAGAUAUGACCUCUCUGGGUUUGGAGGUGGAGUCAGACUAUCUGAUGCACAGGAUGGUGAGAUAGAACACAUUCGUCUUUGAAGAAGCCAAGUCCAGGUUUGUGCUGACCUGGCACUGCUCCACCCAGCAUUCCAGAUGCAAAUGCGGAGAGAUGGAGAGCCUGCAAGCCACCGAUGGCUGUAGUUUGGAAAUAAAUAGCUCUGGAGCCUGGAUGCUCCUAAAGGAAGCCCGUCUCCGCUCGAGUUGGUGGAUGCUGAAGUGCUGGGAGUCAUGAACAGGUGGCUGAAGGACCAGCUUGGUCCCCCAACCUUGAUGCCUCAAGAAUGUACACAGAAAAUGGCAGUCAGCAUCCUUACAGAGUCACUAAGAAGACAAAAUUGGAGCAUCAAAGCCAUCCAGGAAGUGAAAAUACUCCAACCUGGGUCACACACAGAAAGCAGGAGAAAAAACCGUUAACAUGCAUCCUGGCUGAAUCAGUGUCUAAAAGCAGCAUUUGAAAAUAUGAAACAAAAACUUUAAAUCAUAAGUGGCAAAGCUCAGAACAAAAAUAUCCCCCAACAUCCUUAUAUACUCAAGAAAAAUGUGAAAUAAGAAUUGAAUAAACUCUGGAAAGCAAUAGAAGGAAAAAUAAAUAAAAUAAAUAAAAAUAAAUGCUAUCUUAGUACCCAUAGGACCCCAAAUCUUAUUGGAUAUGAGGAAAGUGAGAGAGGUUAACAGAAUGGAGAACAAAGCAAAGGUGGGAACAAAAGUCAUAUGGAGACCAUGUGCUAGACAUCAGUCCCAGAAGAGUCUAAAACAGAAAACACACAAUGAGAAAUAACACAUACCUAAAACUACAGGCUACAGUGAAUUUCUAUCAGGAAAUGAGGAUCUGAAGCUCCAUCUUUAAGGAUUCACAGUAUACGU